RNAcentral lists this ribosomal RNA (433 nucleotides) under uncultured bacterium. RNAcentral describes it as "partial 16S ribosomal RNA". It matches the Rfam family "Bacterial small subunit ribosomal RNA", at positions 29 to 507 of the family's 1533-position model. The record is from RNAcentral.
AGCGAACGCUGGCGGCAGGCCUAACACAUGCAAGUCGAACGAACUCUUCGGAGUUAGUGGCGGACGGGUGAGUAACACGUGGGAACGUGCCCUUUGGUACGGAAUAACUCAGGGAAACUUGAGCUAAUACCGUAUGUGCCCUUCGGGGGAAAGAUUUAUCGCCAUUGGAGCGGCCCGCGUCUGAUUAGCUAGUUGGUGAGGUAAAGGCUCACCAAGGCUACGAUCAGUAGCUGGUCUGAGAGGAUGAUCAGCCACAUUGGGACUGAGACACGGCCCAAACUCCUACGGGAGGCAGCAGUGGGGAAUCUCGCGCAAUGGGCGAAAGCCUGACGCAGCCAUGCCGCGUGAAUGAUGAAGGUCUUAGGAUUGUAAAAUUCUUUCACCGGGGACGAUAAUGACGGUACCCGGAGAAGAAGCCCCGGCUAACUUCGUG